This 505-nucleotide ribosomal RNA is filed under the name uncultured bacterium. RNAcentral describes it as "partial 16S ribosomal RNA". It matches the Rfam family "Bacterial small subunit ribosomal RNA", at positions 28 to 507 of the family's 1533-position model. The record is from RNAcentral.
GACGAACGCUGGCGGCGUGCCUAAUACAUGCAAGUAGAACGCACAGUUUAUACCGUAGCUUGCUACACCAUAGACUGUGAGUUGCGAACGGGUGAGUAACGCGUAGGUAACCUGCCUGGUAGCGGGGGAUAACUAUUGGAAACGAUAGCUAAUACCGCAUAAUAUUAAUUAUUGCAUGAUAAUUAAUUGAAAGGUGCAAUUGCACCACUACCAGAUGGACCUGCGUUGUAUUAGCUAGUAGGUGAGGUAACGGCUCACCUAGGCGACGAUACAUAGCCGACCUGAGAGGGUGAUCGGCCACACUGGGACUGAGAAACGGCCCAGACUCCUACGGGAGGCAGCAGUAGGGAAUCUUCGGCAAUGGACGAAAGUCUGAACGAGCAAAGCCGCGUGAGUGAAGAAGGGUUUCGGAUCGUAAAGAUCUGUUGUAAGAGAAGAACGGGUGUGAGAGUGGAAAGUUCACACUGUGACGGUAUCUUACCAGAAAGGGACGGCUAACUACGUG